UGAAAGUUGCUUAUACCAUUCGUACAUUCAUAUCUCGUCGUCUCUCUCUUUCUUCCUCGCCGGCCACAGUUUCUCCUCUCUCUGAUUUCUUCAGAUCUGCGCUAGUCCGUCUACGAUCUCGCCGGUCCUCCUCCAUAUUUGAGCAGAUCGGCAGACGAUCUAUCGAUCGAGCAUGGGUUCGAGCUGCUUCCGUGGUGGUGAGGGCCGUACUGGUCCGGUGCUGCGUGCGGAUGCGUGGAAGGAGCUUUGGAUCGGAUUCUUUCCGAUCUUGUGUUCGUCUUGUGAUGAACGAAUCGGAGGAGGCCGGUCGAAUUUCGCCGGUGUUGAGGCGUGUCUGCAAGAAACCUAGUUCAGAGCAGGCUUUGUGCUUAUGGAGACGUGGAAAAGGAAGCUCCGUGAAGAUAGUUUGCUGUACAGGGUGCGGUUGCUUGAGCUCAUACUCCGGGCUGCUUCGUCGGGGUUGGCCGUGGCGGGAUCUUUUGGGAAGUGCUUGCAGUGACAGGCUUCGGGCUUGAGCUGAGGACGACGAGACUUUGAUCACCGGUCAACGGCGGAAAGAUUGGUUAGAUAUCUUGUUGUUGUCUUUGGAAUUAUGGAUUUACUCUGUCGCUGGUAAGUAAGAAAUGAAGAUGGGUGAUGAAGAUGUGAGCUGAGAGAGACAGUGAGGUCUUGUGUGGAAAGAAAAGAGAGUCUGUGAUCGACCUUUGCCAUGACAGGUGCGCUUGCAUGGCAGGUCAAAAGAAAACUAAUAAAAAUCGAUCAUCUUUGUGUUCUUCGGGGGAGAUGGCACGGGGAUUUGGUUCUUUGCCCCGGCUCUCUCCCGAUGUGGUGCCCUGUGUCUUCUCCUCUCCCUCUCUUCUUGCUCUUACUGCUGCUCGUGCCCCUCGAUUGGUUCUACGCAAACGAUUAUCCCCAGCAAACGUUUAAGUUUGUCUGCUAGUCGUAACUGCUGAAUCGCGGAACUGGGAAGACCCUUCAGAAAUUCGUCACCAAGGCAAGGUACCAUUUGAUAUGUCGUUAUCUAUUUUGGCAGUUCAUUCAUAGUUUGCCAUUAUCAGCGCCCUAUGCAUUCCAUCUCACUGAUUUGCAUGUUAAUCAUCAAGUCUGAUCUAGACAUACCUGACGUAACUUGCUCAAGAAAGAGUACAUGAUCCUAUUGACAGAUACGCUGAAUAUCUGGAUAUUGGUUAUAUUAAUUAAAACCUUGGUAUAAACAGGUGGCUCUGGCAUGAAUUCCUAAUGAUGCAGUAAGGAAGAAACUCUUUUUUUUUAAUUAUAUUGACUGGUUAUGAUUUGGUCUUUACCCUCUAAAAAGUUUUGGAAGUGGUUUUCCCAAGUUUGGAUGCUUGGUCGGUUGAAAUUGCGACAGCGAGGCAAUUGUGAGAAUAUUGUUCGACAUCUCAGUUGCCUGAUGGCCAUAUCCAGAUUGUUUUGCACGGCCUCUUUUAUGACCUUCAGAGUACAUCGCCAAACCACAGUGGCCCCAAUUCUGGGGCUGGUUGUGAAAAGUCUGAAUUAUGUGUCAAGCAACCGAUUGUCAGUGAAAAUCUAUUGAGCCAUGAUUUCCAAAAUUUGAAGAAGAAAGAUUGGCUUUGGCUGAAAUUAUUGUUAUAUAAGUCGUCCAAUGCAUAAUCAGACUUGCGAAAAGACUGAACCUUUAAUUUGAUCCAAUAUCUUCAAUUCUGGAAAUUCUCAUGCGUGAUUUGUUAUUGGUAAUUUUCCUGCUUAAAUUACAUCUUUGCAUUUAUCAUUGUUAAUAAUCGAUGUAGCAAUUCCAUGCAUGUAGAUGUCAUGUCCAGGAUCUUUGUAUAUUGUAAAAGUUGCAGCAUUGUAGGAGUCUGUAGAAGUGUUUGUACCAUGUUUAGGCAACUGAGCAGGUUCUAGUAUAAAAGUGGGGACUCUGGGGGAAGCUGUUUGCAAGGAUGAUCCUAUCAUUUGGAGGGGGUACUAGCAGUUGCUCUGGUAUCCACUCCAAAUCAUAGGAAUCAUAGGAUGAUACUAUUAUCUGGAAAGGUACCAGAGCAACUGCUGGAUGGAGUGCUGAUCAUUUUGAUUCCGGCGCAUGUGGGGAGCGCACUUGGAUGGAGUGGUGGCUAUCUGUUGACAUGGAAUUAACUCCUCUACUGCAGGAAAUGAUUCCUACUGUGAGGGGUGGAUGAACCAGAUUGAAGAAUGACCUCUGUCCUCUUUGCUGUUCAGAUGCAGUAGGCUCUAUGCUGCGAUGAAAUAAUCUUCACUGGGUUUGGCAAGGGCCAGAGGUCACGCUGACUAGUUUUCCGUCAGCCAAUUUGAGUCGGACCGACGAGCUGCUCUUAGGAAGACCAAAAUGAAGAAAGUGUUUGGCUUCUGGGAGCAUCUGUCCGGGUGCAUUUCAACCAAAUCAUUAUACUACGACGACCUCCGAGAGAGCAAAGAUUUUGGAAAGCCUGAUGAUUAUGCUUUGUCAUCAAGAUCUGUCACUUUCUGCUUGAUGGUUUGAUGUCCUUCCUUCUCUGUUCUAGUCUUCCUUGUCGAAGUUUUUGAUGUUUACAACUUGAGCUAUUAUUACUACUGUGCAUUAUAUAUGGGCGUGAGGGCGACUUCAUUAUGGUUGCCGUGCUGCCUUGCCCUGAAUGUUUUUAGUAGAUUCCUAUCAGCAAGAGUAGCUGGUGUGAUUUUUAACUAGGAUUUUACUUCUUUGUUUAUCUACUGGGGGUUUUUUGGGUGAGAGAAGAACGACCUUUAUAUGGACGGGAUAUUUUUUGGAUGAGAGGAGGGCCACCUUUAUGUGGACAACGUGCCCUAUUGAAUACAAGCAGCUUAUCUUGUUCUAUUUUGAGUUGCGAAAA
Molecule: non-coding RNA, 2828 nt
Organism: Punica granatum (pomegranate)
Lineage: Eukaryota; Viridiplantae; Streptophyta; Magnoliopsida; Myrtales; Lythraceae
Source: RefSeq, a predicted model, not a curated record